Molecule: transfer RNA, 81 nt
Filed under: Actinomortierella ambigua
Lineage: Eukaryota; Fungi; Mortierellomycota; Mortierellomycetes; Mortierellales; Mortierellaceae
Rfam family: tRNA
About the family: Transfer RNA (tRNA) molecules are approximately 80 nucleotides in length. Their secondary structure includes four short double-helical elements and three loops (D, anti-codon, and T loops).
Source: Rfam by way of RNAcentral
GACACGAUGGCCGAGCGGUUAAGGCGUGAGACUAGAAAUCUCAUGGGAUUUCCCGCGCAGGUUCAAAUCCUGCUCGUGUCG